GGCAGUUCUUGGGUGACGCACCCUGGAAUAGGGCUCCCACCUCUCUGGUUCCGGGUAUGUCACCCGAGAACCACA
This is a non-coding RNA of Myotis brandtii (Brandt's bat), 75 nucleotides long. The record is from Rfam. NCBI's taxonomy places the organism in Eukaryota, Metazoa, Chordata, Mammalia, Chiroptera, Vespertilionidae.